GUCCAGGUGAUGCUGAGAAUUGAUCUAAAACUGAUCCUGACCAGCAUGACCUCUGUGGGCCAUCUUAAUGAGGCAUAAUUGGGACAGUCACUGCAGGGAUGUUCUUUCCUGGUAGAGCAUACAUUUUUAAUUUUCAGGGGUGAUUGACCUGAUUUCUCCCAUUCUCGUGGAGCAGUGAGGUGCAAAUGCAGAGGGUUUUCAGCCUACCUUCUGGGGCUUAUUCAUCCUGAAAUGUAUGAGUGCCCAGUGAUGAAUACAGAAACAGUACUGGGUGUUUGGACGUUUGGGCUCCAGCUGAAGCUUCCCCACCCCAAGGACUGAGGUGUCCUAUUAGGAGGAUAAGGAGAGGGAUGGCCUUCCUCUAAAUAACAGUGUCUUGGUCAUGAUGCCCUGGAGAAUAAUCACCAAAGCUGAAGAAGCCUGCAGGCCUGCUUCUGAAACCUCUCCUGGACUACCCGAACAACCCUGGCAACUGUUCAGGGCCAGAGAUUCUUUAAAAGUAAUAGCUUGAAUAUCAUUUCUUCCAUAUUUUAUGGGCCUACAGAAUUUAUGUGGUAAACAAGGUGCAAUGGAUUCUGCUUAAGGAUACUGAGGUAUUCGUUUCAAUGAGGAUAUGAUAUAAAAACUGCACAGAUUGUAGAAAACACAGUGGCAUACAUACAUGCUGACACCGAAGACUUUCCUAAAUGCAAAUACAGUAA
Long non-coding RNA from Marmota flaviventris (yellow-bellied marmot), 701 nucleotides. RefSeq lists it as uncharacterized. Lineage: Eukaryota; Metazoa; Chordata; Mammalia; Rodentia; Sciuridae. The record is from RefSeq and is a predicted model, not a curated record.